AGGUUAUUCCUUUCUCCCAAUCUCCCGCGGUUGUGCAGCUCCCAAAUGCCAAUCAUCGCCUCCUUUCCAAUCUCCUCCUAGAACUAAAUUCCCAGCGGAAUGGCCCCUUUACAAUCCACUUGCUGUCGUCCAUGCCGUCCACGGCCUCGGCCACGGCGAGCAAAUCCGAGGCGGCCGCGACCAAGACCAGGCCUUCCAAUACCUCAUCGAUCCCGCGAUCUAUCUCGUGGAUCUGCUUUUGAUUUUCAUAUGAACAAUACCUGGUGCUUUAUUGCUGAGAUCUUAUUAAUAUUAUUACUACCGUGACUCUGUAUCCCUGACGCUAGUUGAUUAUUGGUAUCACCCGUUAUCUCUCAGAUUGUAUACUUUUUCAUUUAGGUUGCUACUUGUUCCAGCUCAUUUAGGUAGAUAUUAUUUGCGCAUGAGAUGUGUUUUGGCGAUCCUGAGUUAGAUGCCCUCACGCAUAAUACGCAGUACACCUGAAGUACUUAUUCUAUUAGAUGCUAGUCAUGGAAAUCAUCUGUGACCGAGUAGCUGGUGCCUGUGUUGAUUGUCCAGUACUCGGAUGCUUGUAUGGUCAUCUGGCGUUAGUUUUCAAUGAACUUGCAUUGAGCGUUUUGUCACAAGCACCUUUUACAAAUAAAAUGGUGUUAGUUCUUUUUUUUGUGUGGAUUCAGCUCAUGUUUCUCUAAGCAGGGCUCAUUCUGUUGAAUAUCAUGUCCUGGCUUGUAUGUUUUCAUAAGCAUCCACAGUUACUUUUAGAUUUUUCUGCCAAGCCAUGCAUGUUCAAUAGCUAUACCGAUAAAAUAUUUCCUUCAUUUGGUUUCUUUGUAUAUUCUGGUGUCACUCAAGUUAUUGCAUAAAUUACAGUAAUCGAUAAUAUCCUUCGGUUGACUUUCGAUCAUAAAUAACAGUAGUGUUGUUUUCUAAUUUGAGGCGUCCUGCCUGAGCGUUGCUUGAUCGUGCAAACAUGCAGGAGAGGAUUAACUUGGAGCGUGCUGAGAGAGAACAACUUGAGGAGAGGUUACAAGAAAAGCGUGUUGAAAGGGAAAGAAUGUUGGAAGAGAAGCAAAGAUCAAGACUGGAAUUAAAAAAAAAACAUUGUGGCAAAGUUCAGCCAACUAAUGGCUAAAUUAAGCCAAAAAAUGGGAAACCAAUAGGUGCUUAAGAAGAGGAAUGACAAAGAAAAUAGUAAUCCAAAUUUGCAAACUACUCUACAGAGCUCUAGUCCUAGUAGGAAUCUAGGAGCAAAGCCAAAUGUGAUUUCUUCAACUUCACUCUUACAAGUUGCAACACUGAAUUCUAGAUUUUACAAAGCAAUGGAACCAAAGAAAUAGCUGGAGAGGGUAGAAGUAAUGGGAAUACGCACCUAGAGUAGAGAUUUCAAGAAUCACGAUGGUGAUAUACUAUACAUCAUGGACAGUUUAGUCUUACACUUAAUUAGGAUGGCUACACUUUACUUGAGUUUCAUUUGAUGAAUAUUUACUAUCAGAAUUUUGAUUUGUAUGA
Lolium perenne is the source of this 1509-nucleotide long non-coding RNA. RefSeq lists it as uncharacterized. Lineage: Eukaryota; Viridiplantae; Streptophyta; Magnoliopsida; Poales; Poaceae. The record is from RefSeq and is a predicted model, not a curated record.